This 176-nucleotide small RNA is filed under the name Chelonoidis abingdonii (Abingdon island giant tortoise). RNAcentral describes it as "TUC338 (ENSCABG00000017017.1)". Lineage: Eukaryota; Metazoa; Chordata; Testudines; Testudinidae. The record is from RNAcentral.
CUGACAGGCCUAGAGUCCUGUCUUUUUCCACAGAAUAAGCACAGCACAGGUAGCAGCAGCACAAUCUUCCCCGCGCAGCUCUGUGCCAACCUGCCUCCACCCUGAGACGGAGGGACCAUCUCCUCCCCAGAUGACCCAGCAGCUUCCAACCGUAACUGCUUCCAGCAGUGGCUGUG